This 199-nucleotide long non-coding RNA is filed under the name Linum usitatissimum (flax). RNAcentral's name for it is "long non-coding RNA (LUSI_LNC001864)". Lineage: Eukaryota; Viridiplantae; Streptophyta; Magnoliopsida; Malpighiales; Linaceae. The record is from RNAcentral.
AUCGGCCAGCGCCGUCGCCCACCAGAACACAUUCCCGAUCAAAUUCCCUCCGCCGGAAAGCGGCGGAUCCGUGACGUCGUGGAGGUUCACCGCCUGGACUAGGAUCAAAGUUUUCGGAGAUCCGGGGAGCGAACUCGACGCCACCAUGUGGCAUUUCCAUAUGAAACAGGACACCGCCUCAACUCUAGACCGCUUGAUU